UACGUAGGGUGCAAGCGUUAAUCGGAAUUACUGGGCGUAAAGCGUGCGCAGGCGGUUUUGUAAGUCUGUCGUGAAAUCCCCGGGCUCAACCUGGGAAUUGCGAUGGAGACUGCAAGGCUAGAAUCUGGCAGAGGGGGGUAGAAUUCCACGUGUAGCAGUGAAAUGCGUAGAGAUGGUGGAGGAACACCGAUGGCGAAGGCAGCCCC
Molecule: ribosomal RNA, 206 nt
Filed under: uncultured bacterium
Lineage: Bacteria
Description: partial 16S ribosomal RNA
Rfam family: Bacterial small subunit ribosomal RNA
Source: RNAcentral